GGUGUUUGCAGUAAUAGCUUACUGCGUUCAGUGAUGUCGCCACCAAUGUGGUAUGGAAGACCACAGUUUGCAAAGGACACGAAAGGGCCACGUUCGAACAUAAUGAUCUGUGCAUCUUCGCUCAGACGUCGAGCACGUGCGGCUGCAGAAGCGCCUCCAGCAACGCCAC
This 169-nucleotide antisense RNA is filed under the name Vibrio sp. qd031. RNAcentral's name for it is "Vibrio RNA AS7". It matches the Rfam family "Vibrio RNA AS7". From Rfam's summary of the family: Identified by direct cloning an parallel sequencing experiments with 5S/tRNA depletion. Confirmed by Northern blot. Lineage: Bacteria; Pseudomonadati; Pseudomonadota; Gammaproteobacteria; Vibrionales; Vibrionaceae. RNAcentral also lists the same sequence under 1 other name. The record is from Rfam by way of RNAcentral.